CCUACGGGAGACAGCAGUGGGGGAUAUUGGACAAUGGGGGGAACCCUGAUCCAGCGACGCCGCGUGAGUGAAGAAGUAUUUCGGUAUGUAAAGCUCUGUCAGCAGGGAAGAAAGAAAUGACGGUACCUGACCAAGAAGCCCCGGCUAACUACGUGCCAGCAGCCGCGGUAAUACGUAGGGGGCAAGCGUUAUCCGGAAUUACUGGGUGUAAAGGGAGCGUAGACGGUUAAGUAAGUCUGGAGUGAAAGGCCGGGGCCCAACCCCGGGACUGCUCUGGAAACUAUUGAACUUGAGUGCAGGGGAGGUAAGCGGAAUUCCUAGUGUAGCGGUGAAAUGCGUAGAUAUUAGGAGGAACACCAGUGGCGAAGGCGGCUUACUGGACUGUAACUGACGUUGAGGCUCGAAAGCGUGGGGAGCAAACAGGAUUAGAUACCCUUGUAGUC
RNAcentral lists this ribosomal RNA (443 nucleotides) under uncultured bacterium. RNAcentral describes it as "partial 16S ribosomal RNA". It matches the Rfam family "Bacterial small subunit ribosomal RNA", at positions 338 to 795 of the family's 1533-position model. The record is from RNAcentral.